Molecule: ribosomal RNA, 110 nt
Filed under: Cypripedium flavum
Lineage: Eukaryota; Viridiplantae; Streptophyta; Magnoliopsida; Asparagales; Orchidaceae
Description: partial 26S ribosomal RNA
Source: RNAcentral
ACAGAAGAACCUAUUUGAACCCCAAUGGAGGCAAAACAACCCUCGAGCGAUUGAUUGCCAUUCAGAUACGACCCCAGGUCAGGCGGGGCCACCCGCUGAGUUUAAGCAUA